This 547-nucleotide ribosomal RNA is filed under the name uncultured Glomeromycotina. Its description in RNAcentral is "SSU rRNA". It matches the Rfam family "Eukaryotic small subunit ribosomal RNA", at positions 548 to 1097 of the family's 1831-position model. The record is from RNAcentral. Lineage: Eukaryota; Fungi; Glomeromycota.
UUGGAGGGCAAGUCUGGUGCCAGCAGCCGCGGUAAUUCCAGCUCCAAUAGCGUAUAUUAAAGUUGUUGCAGUUAAAAAGCUCGUAGUUAAAUUUCGGGGUCAGUAGGCUGGUCGUGCCACGGGUAUGUACUGGUCUUACUGAUUCCUCCUUCCUGAUGAACCGUAAUGCCAUUAAUUUGGUGUUGCGGGGAAUCUGGACUGUUACUUUGAAAAAAUUAGAGUGUUUAAAGCAGGCUAACGCUUGAAUACAUUAGCAUGGAUUAAUGAAAUAGGACGAUCGAUCCUAUUUUGUUGGUUUCUAGGAUUGACGUAAUGAUUAAUAGGGAUAGUUGGGGGCAUUAGUAUUCAAUUGUCAGAGGUGAAAUUCUUGGAUUUAUUGAAGACUAACUACUGCGAAAGCAUUUGCCAAGGAUGUUUUCAUUAAUCAAGAACGAAAGUUAGGGGAUCGAAGACGAUCAGAUACCGUCGUAGUCUUAACCAUAAACUAUGCCGACUAGGGAUCGGAUGAUGUUAAUUUUUUAAUGACUCUUCGGCGCCUUACGGGAAA